Molecule: ribosomal RNA, 1110 nt
Filed under: Staphylococcus aureus
Lineage: Bacteria; Bacillati; Bacillota; Bacilli; Caryophanales; Staphylococcaceae
Description: bacterial SSU rRNA
Rfam family: Bacterial small subunit ribosomal RNA
Source: RNAcentral
UUUAUGGAGAGUUUGAUCCUGGCUCAGGAUGAACGCUGGCGGCGUGCCUAAUACAUGCAAGUCGAGCGAACGGACGAGAAGCUUGCUUCUCUGAUGUUAGCGGCGGACGGGUGAGUAACACGUGGAUAACCUACCUAUAAGACUGGGAUAACUUCGGGAAACCGGAGCUAAUACCGGAUGAUAUUUUGAACCGCAUGGUUCAAAAGUGAAAGACGGUCUUGCUGUCACUUAUAGAUGGAUCCGCGCUGCAUUAGCUAGUUGGUAAGGUAACGGCUUACCAAGGCAACGAUGCAUAGCCGACCUGAGAGGGUGAUCGGCCACACUGGAACUGAGACACGGUCCAGACUCCUACGGGAGGCAGCAGUAGGGAAUCUUCCGCAAUGGGCGAAAGCCUGACGGAGCAACGCCGCGUGAGUGAUGAAGGUCUUCGGAUCGUAAAACUCUGUUAUUAGGGAAGAACAUAUGUGUAAGUAACUGUGCACAUCUUGACGGUACCUAAUCAGAAAGCCACGGCUAACUACGUGCCAGCAGCCGCGGUAAUACGUAGGUGGCAAGCGUUAUCCGGAAUUAUUGGGCGUAAAGCGCGCGUAGGCGGUUUUUUAAGUCUGAUGUGAAAGCCCACGGCUCAACCGUGGAGGGUCAUUGGAAACUGGAAAACUUGAGUGCAGAAGAGGAAAGUGGAAUUCCAUGUGUAGCGGUGAAAUGCGCAGAGAUAUGGAGGAACACCAGUGGCGAAGGCGACUUUCUGGUCUGUAACUGACGCUGAUGUGCGAAAGCGUGGGGAUCAAACAGGAUUAGAUACCCUGGUAGUCCACGCCGUAAACGAUGAGUGCUAAGUGUUAGGGGGUUUCCGCCCCUUAGUGCUGCAGCUAACGCAUUAAGCACUCCGCCUGGGGAGUACGACCGCAAGGUUGAAACUCAAAGGAAUUGACGGGGACCCGCACAAGCGGUGGAGCAUGUGGUUUAAUUCGAAGCAACGCGAAGAACCUUACCAAAUCUUGACAUCCUUUGACAACUCUAGAGAUAGAGCCUUCCCCUUCGGGGGACAAAGUGACAGGUGGUGCAUGGUUGUCGUCAGCUCGUGUCGUGAGAUGUUGGGUUAAGUCCCGC